UACGGAGGGUGCAAGCGUUGUCCGGAUUUAUUGGGUUUAAAGGGUGCGUAGGCGGCCAUUUAAGUCUGGGGUGAAAGCCCGUUGCUCAACAACGGAACUGCCCUGGAAACUGGAUGGCUUGAGUACAGACGAGGGUGGCGGAAUGGAUGCUGUAGCGGUGAAAUGCGUAGAGAUCGGGAGGAACACCAGUGGCGAAGGCGGCUACCUGGACCAGCACUGACACUGAGGCACGAAAGCGUGGGGAGCAAACAGG
RNAcentral lists this ribosomal RNA (253 nucleotides) under uncultured bacterium. RNAcentral's name for it is "partial 16S ribosomal RNA". It matches the Rfam family "Bacterial small subunit ribosomal RNA", at positions 524 to 776 of the family's 1533-position model. The record is from RNAcentral.